GACGAACGCUGGCGGCGUGCCUAAUACAUGCAAGUUGAGCGCUGAAGGUUGGUACUUGUACCAACUGGAUGAGCAGCGAACGGGUGAGUAACGCGUGGGGAAUCUGCCUUUGAGCGGGGGACAACAUUUGGAAACGAAUGCUAAUGCCGCAUAAAAACUUUAAACACAAGUUUUAAGUUUGAAAGAUGCAAUUGCAUCACUCAAAGAUGAUCCCGCGUUGUAUUAGCUAGUUGGUGAGGUAAAGGCUCACCAAGGCGGUGAUACAUAGCCGACCUGAGAGGGUGAUCGGCCACAUUGGGACUGAGACACGGCCCAAACUCCUACGGGAGGCAGCAGUAGGGAAUCUUCGGCAAUGGACGAAAGUCUGACCGAGCAACGCCGAGUGAGUGAAGAAGGUUUUGGGAUCGUAAAACUCUGUUGGUAGAGAAGAACGUUGGUGAGAGUGGAAAGCUCAUCAAGUGACGGUAACUACCCAGAAAGGGACGGCUAACUACGUG
RNAcentral lists this ribosomal RNA (497 nucleotides) under uncultured bacterium. RNAcentral describes it as "partial 16S ribosomal RNA". It matches the Rfam family "Bacterial small subunit ribosomal RNA", at positions 28 to 507 of the family's 1533-position model. The record is from RNAcentral.